CUACGGGUUGCAGCAGUGAGGAAUAUUGCACAAUGGGGGAAACCCUGAUGCAACAACGCCGCGUGGAGGAUGACGCAUUUCGGUGUGUAAACUCCUUUUAUGAGUCAAGAAAAUGACGGUAGCUCAUGAAUAAGCACCGGCUAACUCCGUGCCAGCAGCCGCGGUAAUACGGAGGGUGCAAGCGUUACUCGGAAUCACUGGGCGUAAAGGACGCGUAGGCGGGAUGUCAAGUCAGGUGUGAAAUCCUGUGGCUCAACCAUAGAACUGCACUUGAAACUGGCAACCUAGAGUAUGGGAGGGGGAGAUGGAAUUAGUGGUGUAGGGGUAAAAUCCGUAGAUAUCACUAGGAAUACCGAAAGCGAAGGCGAUCUCCUGGAACAUUACUGACGCUAAGGCGUGAAAGCGUGGGGAGCAAACAGGAUUAGAUACCCCAGUAGUC
RNAcentral lists this ribosomal RNA (439 nucleotides) under uncultured bacterium. Its description in RNAcentral is "partial 16S ribosomal RNA". It matches the Rfam family "Bacterial small subunit ribosomal RNA", at positions 339 to 795 of the family's 1533-position model. The record is from RNAcentral.